UGGGGGAAGUGGCGAAAGGGGCAGUAAUGCAUGGGUAACCUACCCCGGGGACGGGGAUAGCCAUCCUAACGGAUGGGUAAUACCUGGCGAUCUGGCGAGGAGACAUCUCUUUGCCAGGAAAUGAAUUUCGCCUCGGGAGGGGCCCAUGUGGUAUUAGCUUGUUGGUAGGGUAACGGCCUACCAAGGCCAAGAUGCCUAGCAGGUGUGAGAGCACGACCUGCGCCACUGGCACUGAGACACUGGCCAGACUCCUACGGGAGGCUGCAGUCGAGGAUCUUCGGCAAUGGGCGCAAGCCUGACCGAGCGACGCCGCGUGUGCGAUGAAGGCCUUCGGGUUGUAAAGCACUGUCGAGGGGGAGGAAGGCCCGCAAGGGUUUGACCUAUCCCUGGAGGAAGCACGGGCUAAGUUCGUGCCAGCAGCCGCGGUAAGACGAACCGUGCAAACGUUGUUCGGAAUCACUGGGCUUAAAGGGCGCGUAGGCGGGUGGUCAAGUCAGGGGUGAAAUCCUCCAGCUUAACUGGAGAACAGCUUUUGAUACUGGCCGUCUUGAGGGGGGUAGGGGCAUGUGGAACUUCCGGUGGAGCGGUGAAAUGCGUAGAUAUCGGAAGGAACGCCGGUGGCGAAAGCGACGUGCUGGACCCUUUCUGACGCUGAGGCGCGAAAGCCAG
Molecule: ribosomal RNA, 669 nt
Filed under: uncultured bacterium
Lineage: Bacteria
Description: bacterial SSU rRNA
Rfam family: Bacterial small subunit ribosomal RNA
Source: RNAcentral